UACGUAGGGGGCAAGCGGUAUUCGGAAUCACUGGGCAUAAAGGGCGCGCAGGCGGUUUUGUAAGUCUAAAGUGAAAUCCUUGGGCUUAAACCAAGAGCUGCUUUAGAAACUGCAAAACUCGAGAUCGGGAAAAGCAAGCGGAAUUCCUGGUGAAGGGGUGAAAUCCGUAGAUAUCAGGAAGAACACCAGUGGCGAUAGCGGCUUGCUAGAACGCAACUGACGCUUAGGCGCGAAAGCGUGGGCAGCAAACAGA
This 253-nucleotide ribosomal RNA is filed under the name uncultured bacterium. RNAcentral describes it as "partial 16S ribosomal RNA". It matches the Rfam family "Bacterial small subunit ribosomal RNA", at positions 524 to 776 of the family's 1533-position model. The record is from RNAcentral.